RNAcentral lists this ribosomal RNA (1464 nucleotides) under uncultured Bordetella sp. Its description in RNAcentral is "partial 16S-23S ribosomal RNA intergenic spacer". It matches the Rfam family "Bacterial small subunit ribosomal RNA". The record is from RNAcentral. Lineage: Bacteria; Pseudomonadati; Pseudomonadota; Betaproteobacteria; Burkholderiales; Alcaligenaceae.
AGUUCGAUUCUGGCUCAGAUUGAACGCUGGAUGCUUGCAUGCAGUCGACGGCAGCACGGACUUCGGUCUGGUGGCGAGUGAACGUUUGGUAAUGCGUAUCGGAACGUGCCUAGUAGCGGGGGAUAACUACGCGAAAGCGUAGCUAAUACCGCAUACGCCCUUCGGGGAAAGCGGGGGACCUUCGGGCCUCACACUAAUGAAACGGCCGAUAUCAGGAUUCGCUAGUUGGUGGGGUAACGGCUGCCGACGAUCCGUAGCUGGUUUGAGAGGACGACCAGCCACACUGGGACUGAGACACGGCCCAGACUCUACGGAGGCAGCAGUGGGAAUUUUGGAUGGCUGGAAACCUGGUGCGGCCAUCCGGUAUUGCGAUGAGGCCUUCAGGGUUAGCAACACUUUGGCGGGGAAGAAACGGCACGGGAUAAUACCCCGUGCAACUGACAGUACCUGCAAGGCCAGCACCGGCCAACUACGCAUUGCCAGCAGCCGCGGUGGCCACGUGGGGUGCAAGCGAUUGAUGGAUUACUGGGCGUAAAGCGUGCGCAGGCGGUUGAAGAAAGAUGUAGGGAUCCCAGAGCUUAACUUUGGGGCAUUUUUAACUACCGAGCUAGAGUGUGUCAGAGGGAGGUGGAAUUCCGCGUGUAGCAGAGUGAAAUGCGUAGAUAUGCGGAGGAACACCGAUGGCAAGACAACCUCCUGGGAUGCUGACGCUCGCGGCGUGGGGGAGCAAACGGGAUUAGAUACCUGGUAGUCCACGCCCUAGAGCUUGAUGUCAACUAGCUGUUGGGGCCUUCGGGCCUUCAUGGUAGCAACUACUUGCGUGAAGUUGACCGCCUGGGAGAAUUACUGGUCGCGAAGAUUCAAAACUCAAAGGAAUUGACGGGGACCCACUUUCAAGGCGGUGGAUGAUGCUUAGGAUUCAUUUCAUUCUGUACGAAAAGCCUUACCUACCCUUGACAUGUCUGGAAUCGAGUUUGGGAGUGCUCGAAGACCGGAACACAGGUGCUGCAUGGCUGUCGUCGGCUCGGUGUCGUGAGGAUAUAUUUGGGUUAAGUCCGCAGCUUGAAGCGCAACCCUUGUCAUUAGUUUGCUGCGAAAGACUUAUCUAAUGAGACUGCCGGUGAGCAAACCGGAGGAAGGUGAGGAUGACGUCAAGUCCUCAUGGCCCUUAUGGGUAGGGCUUCACACGUCAUACAAUGGUCGGGACGAAGAGGUCGUAACCCGGGGGAGCCAAUCCCAGAAACCCGAUCUGUGGUCGGACCUGCCAGUCUGCAAUAUGGCCGUGAAGUCGGAAUCGCUAGUAGUCGCGGAUCCAGCAUGUCGCGGUGAAUACGUUCCGGGUCUUGCCACACCGCCCGUCACACCAUGGGAGUGGGUUUUACAGAAGUAGUUAGCCUAACCGUAAGGGAGGGCGAUUACCACAGUAGGAUUCAUGGCCUGGGGUGAAGUCGUAACAAGAUAAAG